Molecule: long non-coding RNA, 3748 nt
Filed under: Hordeum vulgare
Lineage: Eukaryota; Viridiplantae; Streptophyta; Magnoliopsida; Poales; Poaceae
Description: long non-coding RNA (HVUL_LNC017302)
Source: RNAcentral
UCUUCAAGAGCGAACUCGUGGGCGGCCAAAGAGCGAUGCCACGUCCGCAGAUUUUACUGUCGCGGUUUUACAAUGCGAGGAAAGACAAAAGCAAAAGGCUCGCGCUCUCGCACCCAGCUACUCUUUCGUUUUCUCCUCCCAGCUAGGGUUCCCUCCGCCGCCGCUGCCGCCGGUGCUUCAUCUUCUGUCCUGAGCUCCACCCCAUCCAGCCUUUCUUUUCCUCUCUCGCCUCUCCUCUCUCGCCUCUCCGCUAGGGUUGCCGCCCCCACCAUCCACGCUCCUCAACCGGGGAUGGGGCAGGAGAAGCGUCGCUGGUGCUGAAUUGGUGAUGGCCUCCUCGUCGACUGCGGCGGCGCAUACGCGUUGAGGGGCAGGGCCAACCCACUGGCCGAGCUGACCGACCGCUUCAGGUCGCUGGAGGCCGGGGUGCCAGAGGUAUUCUCCGGCUUUCGCCUGCGUUCAUCGUCCGUCAGGUCCUCGCCUCACCGUCUGAUCCACCAUAACCCAUCCUCUCCUGCUCACCUCACCUUCUCUUCCUCGGCUUCUUCGACCUGGGGCUCCCUCGACGGAGGGACGCAUCCUUCGUGUGUUGCGUGCUCCAUGUCGACGUCAUGUACAUCCUCUCCUCCAUGUGCCUUUGCUCGUCCUUGAUGCAACUCUUCAGUGAGUUUCCCCUCCUCAAUACAUUGGCAACUCAAAAUCCCCAAACCUGGGUGAUGAACUUCUGCUUAUCUUUACUGUUCAUUCCUUCUGCACUACAUUAACAACUGAUGACCUCAACUAUUUUUUUGACCUUGCAUAACUCUCUGCCAUUAUCCUAGAGUUGGAAGGUCCAAGUAAUAAUUCCUUUUGUUUUGACAUGCUAGAUCACGGUCCUUUGUUGCCUAGUUUUGGUUUUAGUGCAUGACUUUUGACUUUUCGGAUUGUGGAGUUGAUCUCUGUUUUGCUAACAGUUCACACUGAAACAACUGAAAAGUAGCUAAGCAGCCAAUCAAUAUUCAAUAGUAAAACAUUGCAUCAAUUUAUCUAUCUGGUAUUUGGCAUGUCAUAUGUCCUUAUUCAUGUUAUUAAUGUGGAAAACAUUAUGACAUACUGGCUGGUCCUGCAAGCACCCUUAUAAUAAGUCCAUGCAUCAUCGUGUUGAAAAUAUUAUAAUUUCUUGCCUCAAGGUUAAAACAACGCAACUGGGUGACCAUGUUUUUAAUGACUAGUCGUGGUAAAACUCUUGGUGCAAGAAGUUCUGUUUAUCACUACUUCAUCUCCAUUUAUUUAGCAGGUUCUACGAUUUCCCGUGUUGCUGCAUCUUAUUCUCCUGCUUUGCUAAAUUCUGUUCUCCUCCUCUAGGUUUGCUUUCUUUCCAUCUAGAUGCAUGUUUUCCUUUUGCUCAUGGAAUAGUUUAGUUAUAUUGUUCAGUAGCAUAUCUAUAUUAUUAAUACUAUCAAUGAGUUUGUACUUAUGUUUGGUGGUGUUCUUGGGGCCGAGGUUCAUUAUAAUAUUGGACUGUUGGUCUUGAUUCUUAAUGUACGCUUUGGAUAAAUCCGCUUUUUAUAAAAGCAGGGCAGUAUGCCUUUCUCUAAAAAAAUGUGUACAUUGUAUCCUUGCUUUAUAUCAGUGAAAUUUUUUGUUAGCUUUAAAAUUGUAUACAUUGAUUCCUAAUUGGAUGCAAGUAUCCAACGUGAAUGGAAGUUGGUGACUUGUUUUAUGUGAUUUUGCUCGGGUCUUGGAAGAAUCAGGCUAAGGAGUGAUUGUAGUGACAACUGAAUGGUGAUGAAGCAAAGUUUGGUAGGUUGCAAAUGCAGGUUAUUUUCAAAUCUGAAACUUCAUUUUGUACAAUGCUAAUAAGAUCUGGACAAUUUUAAGUAGCAUAUGAGUCCAAACAAUCUUGGACUCACCAUAGAUCCGUGGGGAGAACUCCUUUGCUUCUAGAGAAUUAAGUUGGUGAUGUUUAUGAUUGGUAAUUGCUAAGGGUCAUUGUUCCCAAAUUUGCAUUGAAGAAUUAGUCAUUUGCAGUUAUUUACGUAACCAUAGCCACCUUUAUUUUUCUGAUCAUCUUUCUUCGAGUGCAGCUAAGAUGGAAAUACAAAUUGAUGUUGUUGAUGGCCCACACAGUUUCUUCCCAGUUCAGCCAAGGUGAUAACCGAAUUCUUUUAUGUUGUACAGAUUCAGUAUUGACAUAUAUUUUCAUGACCGCAAAGAUAGUUCCCUUUAGUGUCGUGUUCUAUAUGAGUGAUGUUCAAAAUUAAUUACAAGUGAAAAAUUUGUUGCCGUUGAAACACAAUGUUUUUCCCUNNNNNNNNNNNNNNNNNNNNNNNNNNNNNNNNNNNNNNNNNNNNNNNNNNNNNNNNNNNNNNNNNNNNNNNNNNNNNNNNNNNNNNNNNNNNNNNNNNNNNNNNNNNNNNNNNNNNNNNNNNNNNNNNNNNNNNNNNNNNNNNNNNNNNNNNNNNNUUCCCUACAUUGUGAUAAUUAAUUUAUAGCCACAUUCAACAUCGCAUAUAGUACAUCGUAAGUUGUCCUCAAUCAGAUAAUCACCACUAUUUUAAUUUUAGUUGCAGCUUUCUGAAAUAAUUUGUGUCAUCUCACUGGAUGUUAAAAAACAAAGGGUACCUCACGUACAACCAUAGAACUGCUAAGUAACACAGCCCGUUCAAAGGAAAAAAAAUCGGGAGCUACAUGCACCGGGCUGCCCUUUUUUAUUUUAUUUUGAAUGGCAUUAUGUCGGGAGAGUAGCCCACCGUAAAUUUCUCAUAUUGAUCCAGAGUCAUCAAUCCUUCCCAAGGUGAUUUCUGUCUAAUCUUGGUUUAGUGUGUUCGCUUCGCAGCAAUGUCAGCAUGGGACCACAAUUGUAAAUAAUUUGAAUGACUUCAAUUUUCCAAGUCAUGUUUAAGUUAGGUCACCAGUUACACAAUCAAGCAACUGAGGGUUACUUCGGCUUGUGCAUACCUCUGGAUUUGCUUUUCUAGAUUCACUUGAUACCUAAUGGAUCCAACGUUUUUUCUGUUGACGGUUGUCGUCUGCUCGUGCUCUCUACUAUCGGACUGCUAGGAUCACCGUUCUUGUGGUUGUAUCGACAGUUCUGAUUUUUGUGGACGGUCCCAUCGCAGGUGCUUUUCUUCUCUCAUUCCUUUAUUUAUGCCUUUCCAUGUACAUGUUCUAAUUCAAAAUUGAUCUUCUAGGCAUGGGUUGUGGCUUACCAAGUCUAAUGUUUGUGUUGGGUUUUCCUUUUUUUUUUGUGGAGUUGGUCAGUUCAUUUGAAGCAAAAGAAUGGCAUGCAUUACCUUGCAUUGACAGUGUGAUUAAUCAUGCAACAUGAGUUAUUACAUAUUGUUGUGUAACGUACAAAAUGCCAGAUUCACUUAUUCAGCAUGUACCUAUAUUGCUCCUCUUCUGUAGUAAACCUUCUGGUUAAGUUUUGCAAUCAUCACCUCAUGUUAUACCUUGAAUAUUGUAUGUGCUCGAUCAAAUUGGAUGAAUCUCUAGACACCAUAGGCAUCUUAGAAUUGACAAUAUUGUGCAUGACUACAGGUUGUUGCGAAAAUGUUCUUGAACUAAUGCUAGCUCCAUCUGUUUUUUGUUUCCAUGUAAUUGAAAUGAGCUCUUUUCGAGCUUUGUUGUUCAGGCAUUUAGCAUUGGUUGUGUUUUUCUGUGGCUUGGCAGAGGUGUCGGUAUUGGUGGUCGAGCCACUAAUGCAGAACAUUAAUAGAGAGAUUUGUUGGCUGGACAUUGGCAUCCUCGUCAUGUCCAACUUCAG